CAGGUGCCUUGGGCUUUUCCCCAUAGGUGACCUUGGUCAUUUAGAGGAAGUAAGCGGAAGGAUCAUUAAUCGUACCAAUGUUUUAGGAGCGUGGCGGAGCGUGGCGGAUGUCCCCGCUGACUUUUCAAAAGUUGUGCACGCCGGAGCGUGUCCUCUCACAUAACACAAUCCAUCUCACCCUUUGUGCACCACCGCGUGGGCACCCUUUUGGGGUCAGAGCGAUCUCUGAGGGGACUCGCGUUUUCACACAACACCCCCUUUUAAAAAGUGUAGAAUGACCUCCUUUAUGCAAUCAAUACAACUUUCAACAACGGAUCUCUUGGCUCUCGCAUCGAUGAAGAACGCAGCGAAAUGCGAUACGUAAUGUGAAUUGCAGAAUUCAGUGAAUCAUCGAAUCUUUGAACGCACCUUGCGCCCCCUGGUAUUCCGAGGGGCACACCCGUUUGAGUGUCGUGAAAACCUCAACCUCCUUGGUUUUCCUUCUGGAGACCAAAGGAGGCUUGGACUUUGGAGGCCUUUGCUGGUGUCUCUCACCAGCUCCUCUUAAAUGAAUUAACGGGGUCCUCUUUGCCGAUCCUUGACACGGAAAGAGCUUCCGUGUCUCGGUUCCGGCUCUGUUGCUUUGGGACCCGCUUCUAACCCGCUGGACCUUGCUCGAGACAAUGUCGAGCUCGUCUCCCUUCUCGGGAACCCCCUCGACCCACGAACCCCUGGCCUCAACUCGGGUGAAACUACCGCUGAACUUAAGCAUAUCAUAACGAAGGAAAAAACAUACACGAACUCCUUAAUACUCGCGAGUGAAGCGAAAAUCAAAUUUAAACUAGGCGGCUCUCUUGCCGUCAAGUUAAUUAAAGAACGCUCUCCGCCCCGAACUGUCAAGCUUCCUGAUUGAAGCGCAUAAAGCGAAAUACCGCUUUGCAUGAUCCCUGGCUCAUCUGAUCUCUUCAAACCCAUGUCUUGGAUG
RNAcentral lists this ribosomal RNA (964 nucleotides) under Lactarius areolatus. RNAcentral's name for it is "eukaryotic LSU rRNA". The stretch from base 300 to 453 matches the Rfam family "5.8S ribosomal RNA". Lineage: Eukaryota; Fungi; Basidiomycota; Agaricomycetes; Russulales; Russulaceae. The record is from RNAcentral.